GGCGGACGGGUGAGUAACGCGUGGGUAACCUGCCUUAUACUGGGGGAUAACAGCCAGAAAUGACUGCUAAUACCGCAUAAGCGCACAGAACCGCAUGGUUCGGUGUGAAAAACUCCGGUGGUAUAAGAUGGACCCGCGUUGGAUUAGCUAGUUGGCAGGGCAGCGGCCUACCAAGGCGACGAUCCAUAGCCGGCCUGAGAGGGUGAACGGCCACAUUGGGACUGAGACACGGCCCAGACUCCUACGGGAGGCAGCAGUGGGGAAUAUUGCACAAUGGGGGAAACCCUGAUGCAGCGACGCCGCGUGAAGGAAGAAGUAUCUCGGUAUGUAAACUUCUAUCAGCAGGGAAGAUAAUGACGGUACCUGACUAAGAAGCCCCGGCUAACUACGUGCCAGCAGCCGCGGUAAUACGUAGGGGGCAAGCGUUAUCCGGAUUUACUGGGUGUAAAGGGAGCGUAGACGGCGCAGCAAGUCUGAUGUGAAAGGCAGGGGCUUAACCCCUGGACUGCAUUGGAAACUGCUGUGCUUGAGUGCCGGAGGGGUAAGCGGAAUUCCU
This 556-nucleotide ribosomal RNA is filed under the name uncultured bacterium. RNAcentral describes it as "bacterial SSU rRNA". It matches the Rfam family "Bacterial small subunit ribosomal RNA", at positions 97 to 671 of the family's 1533-position model. The record is from RNAcentral.